CUGACUUGCAGUUUGAUACCCUAAAGAAUUCUUCUGCACAUAGAGCAGAUGUUAUAAUGUUCUUAGCCUUAGCAUUAUAACCUACCUUCUUUUUGUCGUCGUCAGACCAGUCGGCUCUAGGCUUGAGAAUCAUUGAGUCAUUUGUUCCUGCAAUCUUGGGAAUAUAUGGACCGUUUUCAACAGCGUCAAGGAUGUCUAUGCCACUGGCUUCCAGGAAUAUCAGCAUCAUGUGCUUCCAGUACAUAUAAGUUGUUCCGUUGAAUGCUGGAGGUCUUGCUAACGAUGCG
RNAcentral lists this long non-coding RNA (287 nucleotides) under Cicer arietinum (chickpea). RNAcentral describes it as "long non-coding RNA (CARI_LNC002657)". The record is from RNAcentral. Lineage: Eukaryota; Viridiplantae; Streptophyta; Magnoliopsida; Fabales; Fabaceae.